GGUUGUAUAGUGUAGUGGUGAGCACAUCGGUUUUUGAGAAGGAUUUGAGCUUGACCGCUGAAUCCCAAAGUACCGAUAACCCAGGUUCGAGCCCUGGUACGACCU
This 105-nucleotide transfer RNA is filed under the name Venturia inaequalis. It matches the Rfam family "tRNA". From Rfam's summary of the family: Transfer RNA (tRNA) molecules are approximately 80 nucleotides in length. Lineage: Eukaryota; Fungi; Ascomycota; Dothideomycetes; Venturiales; Venturiaceae. The record is from Rfam by way of RNAcentral.